AUGCAUCUAUUUGACAGACCUGUAGCAGUUGCUUAUCUGCUGCCUUGGUUUUCACCACAGAUGCAAGAACAAGAAAUCCUCGCGCUUUCUGCCUGUCUGAUGUGGCAGCCCAGAUUGAAUGGGGGGCUACAGGU
Molecule: small nucleolar RNA, 134 nt
Organism: Suncus etruscus (white-toothed pygmy shrew)
Lineage: Eukaryota; Metazoa; Chordata; Mammalia; Eulipotyphla; Soricidae
Product: small nucleolar RNA SNORA31
Exons: 1
Source: RefSeq, a predicted model, not a curated record